UACGUAGGUGGCAAGCGUUGUCCGGAUUUACUGGGCGUAAAGAGCGCGCAGGCGGUCGUUCAAGUCGCGUGUGAAAGCCCCCGGCUCAACUGGGGAGGGUCACGCGAUACUGAUCGACUCGAAGGCAGGAGAGGGAAGUGGAAUUCCCGGUGUAGUGGUGAAAUGCGUAGAUAUCGAGAGGAACACCUGCGGCGAAGGCGGGUUGCUGGGCUGACACUGACGCUGAAGCGCGAAAGCUAGGGGAGCGAACGGG
This 253-nucleotide ribosomal RNA is filed under the name uncultured bacterium. RNAcentral describes it as "partial 16S ribosomal RNA". It matches the Rfam family "Bacterial small subunit ribosomal RNA", at positions 524 to 776 of the family's 1533-position model. The record is from RNAcentral.